UGAAAUCGCACUGGUUUUACACACUGGGUCGCCUUUUAAAAUUUGGCUAUGCAAGCCAAACAUGAACCUGCGUGCGACAAUCAACCCUGGGGACGGGAGCUG
Sapajus apella (tufted capuchin) is the source of this 102-nucleotide long non-coding RNA. RefSeq lists it as uncharacterized. The transcript is spliced from 5 exons. The record is from RefSeq and is a predicted model, not a curated record. NCBI's taxonomy places the organism in Eukaryota, Metazoa, Chordata, Mammalia, Primates, Cebidae.